UACGUAGGGUGCGAGCGUUAAUCGGAAUUACUGGGCGUAAAGCGUGUGUAGGCGGUUCGCCAAGUCUGAUGUGAAAGCCCCGGGCUCAACCUGGGAACUGCAUUGGAAACUGACGAGCUUGAGUGUGGCAGAGGGGGGUGGAAUUCCACGUGUAGCAGUGAAAUGCGUAGAGAUGUGGAGGAACACCGGUGGCGAAGGCAGCCCCCUGGGCUAACACUGACGCUCAGGCACGAAAGCGUGGGGAGCAAACAGG
This 253-nucleotide ribosomal RNA is filed under the name uncultured bacterium. RNAcentral describes it as "partial 16S ribosomal RNA". It matches the Rfam family "Bacterial small subunit ribosomal RNA", at positions 524 to 776 of the family's 1533-position model. The record is from RNAcentral.